RNAcentral lists this long non-coding RNA (1912 nucleotides) under Lucilia cuprina (Australian sheep blowfly). Its description in RNAcentral is "uncharacterized LOC124420680". The record is from RNAcentral. Lineage: Eukaryota; Metazoa; Arthropoda; Insecta; Diptera; Calliphoridae.
ACACAAUUAACAAAAUCAUCGGUUAAAGUCCGCCUAAAUUUGUUCCGAAUUUAAUCUAAUAGCAAGUUAAGCCUAGUUUAACUGCAUAUUAAAAAACCCGCCAUUAAUGAGAUAGCGAGACAUUCUGGGUUAACGCUAAUAUGGGUUCCUGCACACAAUAAUUGUCUAGGAAACGAACUCGCCAGAAACGACACGAUGGGAGGGAAAAAUGAAAUCGACGCUUUCACUGGUAUUUCCCUUAGUAACUGAAAGGCACUUGUUCAAAAUGAACUAUAUGAAAUGGCUGAGAUCAGAUGGUUUAGUGAAACCACCUGUAUAAUCUCGAGGUCAACCUGGCCUCUAUAUGAAGCUUCUAAGUCUAGCUUACUGUUAAGCUUUCGUAGGGGACAAAUGCAAAAAGAAUGGGUCUCCGGUACAAUGACUACAGAAGUUGUAGUCACAAUGAGGAGGAGGAGGAAACUAUACCUCAUCUCCUCUUUUACUAUCCGAUAUUUAAUGGGAACAGGGAACUUUAUUUUGGAUGUGCUGUUCUCUCUUCUUUGAAGGAUAUAUCCUUCAACUUAUGGUUAGGUAGGAAGUGUAGCCUUCCCCAAGUCUCAUAACAUUUUCUUUGUCAUUAACAUUCGACUUAUAGUCGAUUUCUGGAGGACUACUCAGAGCUAAUUGGGAUUAGAAUAGAUAACAUAAACCAUAAGCCAUUGAGGACAACUCAGAACUAACUGGAAUUAGAAUAGAUAACAUAACCAAAAGGUAUUGCAGUUGGUUUGACGGAACAAACUCCAACAGCACUGAUUAGUAGCUUUUUCGAAUUCUGUACUAUUAACCGCUCAAUUUCUUAUUUCAAUGCCACUUUACCAUGAUCUCUUACUACAACUCGAGUUUAAUCUAACAGCAAGUUUAAAGUAGUUUAACUGAGUAGCAAGAAACCCGCCCUAAAUUUUUCAUUUUACAAAUAUAAUAUUUGCAAAAAACAGCUGUUCAGUGUUUAUGAUUUUGACAGAAUAGUUGGCAAUACUAUUAAAGUUAACUCAUCUUAAAUCCAAAACUGGAAAAUACAAUCAUAAGGCUAACUAAGUAGCAUCACAAAAGCACCACUAAGAUUUAUUUGUAACCUGUUCUAUCCACAUUGUUCGUUCCCACGACAAUCGGUUCUUCGCACCGGAAGGACUCGGAGAUAAAUGAACAACGACCAAGGAUUGUCAACCCAGCCACACCGACUUUAAACGUGUCGCUGCUACAACAACAACCCACAUUGUUUCCAUAAGAACUGUAUCAUCGCUCGGGAACGAUCCGAGUAAUAUUCGACUAAAAAUGGUCAAAACUGUGACAAUUUAUCAACCGAAAGUUUUUUCAGGAAAGAACUAUCGCACACUAUCGAACUGUUACAACAACCUUACUACGUAGGUCUCUCCCUUAACACCCUAUAAAGAUAAGUUUUGUUUUGAAAUUGUGAAAACCAAGUUUUUAAAAUUGUGUUGUUUCAAAUGCAGGGCGUGGCAUUUAGGAUAUUUCUACAUAUUUUAUUACUUUUUUAGUUUCAAAAUAUAUUUGAAAAAUUUUUAUUUCUCUUACAGCAAAAACCUAAAUAUUUAGCAAAUAUUUAACAACAAAUUUAAAUAAUUUUACUUUAAGUCUUUUUUUACACUAUAACUAUAAAACAUCUUUAUAAGACAGUAAGAAAAAGCAUUCAAUAGUAAAACUAUUUUUAAAUAAAACAAUAACAAAAAAAAGAUCAAAUUCCAGACAUUUUACAAAAAGUUUAUAAAAGAAAGAAAUAUACAAUAUGUACAUUUUCUAAAGUAAUAAAGUAAAGCCCUACAAAUGAAAUCAAUAACUUUAUUUACACAAAAAAACUAGUUAUUUACUAAAUGUUAAACUUAUAUAUACUGCAAUAUACUAUAGAAUAUAAUUC